UACGAAGGGGGCUAGCGUUGCUCGGAAUGACUGGGCGUAAAGGGCGCGUAGGCGGCGGUCACAGUCAGAUGUGAAAUCCCAUGGCUCAACCAUGGAAGUGCACCCGAAACUGCGUAGCUAGAGUCUCGGAGAGGAAGGCGGAAUGCUUGGUGUAGAGGUGAAAUUCGUUGAUAUCUACAGGAACUCCGGUGGCGAAAGCGGCGUGCUGGACCUUUUCUGACGCUGAGGCGCGAAAGCUAGGGGAGCAAACGGG
RNAcentral lists this ribosomal RNA (253 nucleotides) under uncultured bacterium. RNAcentral describes it as "partial 16S ribosomal RNA". It matches the Rfam family "Bacterial small subunit ribosomal RNA", at positions 524 to 776 of the family's 1533-position model. The record is from RNAcentral.